CCUACGGGGGGCAGCAGUAGGGAAUAUUGGACAAUGGGCGAAAGCCUGAUCCAGCAAUGCCGCGUGAGUGAUGAAGGCCUUAGGGUUGUAAAGCUCUUUUACCCGAGAUGAUAAUGACAGUAUCGGGAGAAUAAGCUCCGGCUAACUCCGUGCCAGCAGCCGCGGUAAUACGGAGGGAGCUAGCGUUGUUCGGAAUUACUGGGCGUAAAGCGCACGUAGGCGGCGAUUUAAGUCAGAGGUGAAAGCCCGGGGCUCAACCCCGGAACUGCCUUUGAGACUGGAUUGCUAGAAUCUUGGAGAGGCGAGUGGAAUUCCGAGUGUAGAGGUGAAAUUCGUAGAUAUUCGGAAGAACACCAGUGGCGAAGGCGGCUCGCUGGACAAGUAUUGACGCUGAGGUGCGAAAGCGUGGGGAGCAAACAGGAUUAGAUACCCCAGUAGUC
This 440-nucleotide ribosomal RNA is filed under the name uncultured bacterium. RNAcentral's name for it is "bacterial SSU rRNA". It matches the Rfam family "Bacterial small subunit ribosomal RNA", at positions 338 to 795 of the family's 1533-position model. The record is from RNAcentral.